RNAcentral lists this ribosomal RNA (253 nucleotides) under uncultured bacterium. Its description in RNAcentral is "partial 16S ribosomal RNA". It matches the Rfam family "Bacterial small subunit ribosomal RNA", at positions 524 to 776 of the family's 1533-position model. The record is from RNAcentral.
UACGAAGGGGGCUAGCGUUGUUCGGAAUUACUGGGCGUAAAGGGCGCGCAGGCGGUCCUUCAAGUCAGGGGUGAAAGCCCAGAGCUCAACUCUGGAAUUGCCUUUGAAACUGACGGACUAGGAUACGGGAGAGGUGAGUGGAAUUCCGAGUGUAGAGGUGAAAUUCGUAUAUAUUCGGAAGAACACCAGUGACGAAGGCGGCUCACUGGCCCGUUACCGACGCUCAGGCGCGACAGCGUGGUGAGCAAACAGG